GACGAACGCUGGCGGCGUGCUUAACACAUGCAAGUCGAACGGAAAGGCCCCUUCGGGGGUACUCGAGUGGCGAACAGGUGAGUAACACGUGGGUAACCUGCCCUUGACUUCGGGAUAACUUCAGGAAACUGGGGCUAAUACCGGAUAGGAAUCCUUGCUGCAUGGUGGGGGUUGGAAAGCUUCGGCGGUUUUGGAUGGACUCGCGGCUUAUCAGCUUGUUGGUGGGGUAGUGGCUUACCAAGGCUUUGACGGGUAGCCGGCCUGAGAGGGCGACCGGCCACAUUGGGACUGAGAUACGGCCCAGACUCCUACGGGAGGCAGCAGUGGGGAAUAUUGCACAAUGGGCGGAAGCCUGAUGCAGCAACGCCGCGUGCGGGAUGACGGCCUUCGGGUUGUAAACCGCUUUCAGCAGGGGCGAAGCUUGUGGUGACGGUACCUGCAGAAGAAGCACCGGCUAACUACGUG
This 465-nucleotide ribosomal RNA is filed under the name uncultured bacterium. RNAcentral describes it as "partial 16S ribosomal RNA". It matches the Rfam family "Bacterial small subunit ribosomal RNA", at positions 28 to 507 of the family's 1533-position model. The record is from RNAcentral.